Molecule: ribosomal RNA, 254 nt
Filed under: uncultured bacterium
Lineage: Bacteria
Description: partial 16S ribosomal RNA
Rfam family: Bacterial small subunit ribosomal RNA
Source: RNAcentral
CACGUAGGGUGCGAGCGUUGUCCGGAAUUAUUGGGCGUAAAGAGCUCGUAGGCGGUGUGUCGCGUCGGCCGUGAAAACCUGCAGCUUAACUGUGGGCUUGCGGUCGAUACGGGCAUCACUGGAGUUCGGCAGGGGAGACUGGAAUUCCUGGUGUAGCGGUGAAAUGCGCAGAUAUCAGGAGGAACACCGAUGGCGAAGGCGGUUCUCUGGGCAUUACCUGACGCUGAGGAGCGAAAGUGUGGGGAGCGAACAGG